CUUGAUGACAGCAAAAGAUCUGA
Molecule: non-coding RNA, 23 nt
Filed under: Cricetulus griseus (Chinese hamster)
Lineage: Eukaryota; Metazoa; Chordata; Mammalia; Rodentia; Cricetidae
Source: RNAcentral